Molecule: ribosomal RNA, 506 nt
Filed under: uncultured bacterium
Lineage: Bacteria
Description: bacterial SSU rRNA
Rfam family: Bacterial small subunit ribosomal RNA
Source: RNAcentral
GGCUCAGGAUGAACGCUAGCUACAGGCUUAACACAUGCAAGUCGAGGGGCAGCAUAACGAAAGCUUGCUUUGUGAUGGCGACCGGCGCACGGGUGAGUAACGCGUAUCCAACCUUCCCUAUAGUAGAGAAUAGCCCGGCGAAAGUCGGAUUAAUGCUCUAUGUUCUUCUUUGAUGGCAUCUGAGGAGAAGCAAAGGUUCACCGCUAUAGGAUGGGGAUGCGUCUGAUUAGGUAGUCGGCGGGGUAACGGCCCACCGAGCCGACGAUCAUAGGGGUUCUGAGAGGAAGGUCCCCCACAUUGGUACUGAGACACGGACCAAACUCCUACGGGAGGCAGCAGUGAGGAAUAUUGGUCAAUGGGCGAGAGCCUGAACCAGCCAAGUAAGCGUGCAGGAGGACUGCCCUAUGGGUUGUAAACUGCUUUUAUAGGGGAAUAAAGUGAGGUACGUGUACCUUUUUGUAUGUACCCUAUGAAUAAGGACCGGCUAAUUCCGUGCCAGCAGCGGC